RNAcentral lists this ribosomal RNA (236 nucleotides) under Triticum aestivum (bread wheat). RNAcentral describes it as "partial small subunit ribosomal RNA". Lineage: Eukaryota; Viridiplantae; Streptophyta; Magnoliopsida; Poales; Poaceae. The record is from RNAcentral.
CAUGAGGGAGGCAGGUGCUUAUUCACAUGAAGAUCGAAAACAGGAUCCAGUUUCAAAAUUUUGAAACUGGUUGAAAUAUCCCUUUUCAUGAUCGUAAAUACUGUGAUUGAAUUAUAGUGAUCUAGAUAAAACUUUACAUGAAAGUAUUAUAUAGUUAAACUACAGUAUAUACAAUAGUGAGAAAACAUAUAUCAACCAGUUUUAAAGUUUUGAAACUGAAUUCUGUUUUCGAUCUU